ACACAUGCAAGUCGAGCGGAAACGACACUAACAAUCCUUCGGGUGCGUUAAUGGGCGUCGAGCGGCGGACGGGUGAGUAAUGCCUAGGAAAUUGCCUUGAUGUGGGGGAUAACCAUUGGAAACGAUGGCUAAUACCGCAUAAUGCCUACGGGCCAAAGAGGGGGACCUUCGGGCCUCUCGCGUCAAGAUAUGCCUAGGUGGGAUUAGCUAGUUGGUGAGGUAAUGGCUCACCAAGGCGACGAUCCCUAGCUGGUCUGAGAGGAUGAUCAGCCACACUGGAACUGAGACACGGUCCAGACUCCUACGGGAGGCAGCAGUGGGGAAUAUUGCACAAUGGGCGAAAGCCUGAUGCAGCCAUGCCGCGUGUAUGAAGAAGGCCUUCGGGUUGUAAAGUACUUUCAGUUGUGAGGAAGGGGGUAGCGUUAAUAGCGCUAUCUCUUGACGUUAGCAACAGAAGAAGCACCGGCUAACUCCGUGCCAGCAGCCGCGGUAAUACGGAGGGUGCGAGCGUUAAUCGGAAUUACUGGGCGUAAAGCGCAUGCAGGUGGUUCAUUAAGUCAGGAUGUGAAAGCCCGGGGCUCAACCUCGGAACUGCAUUUGAAACUGGUGAACUAGAGUACUGUAGAGGGGGGUAGAAUUUCAGGUGUAGCGGUGAAAUGCGUAGAGAUCUGAAGGAAUACCAGUGGCGAAGGCGGCCCCCUGGACAGAUACUGACACUCAGAUGCGAAAGCGUGGGUAGCAAACAGGAUUAG
Molecule: ribosomal RNA, 752 nt
Filed under: Vibrio sp. UOH-54
Lineage: Bacteria; Pseudomonadati; Pseudomonadota; Gammaproteobacteria; Vibrionales; Vibrionaceae
Description: bacterial SSU rRNA
Rfam family: Bacterial small subunit ribosomal RNA
Source: RNAcentral